This 766-nucleotide ribosomal RNA is filed under the name uncultured bacterium. Its description in RNAcentral is "bacterial SSU rRNA". It matches the Rfam family "Bacterial small subunit ribosomal RNA", at positions 8 to 784 of the family's 1533-position model. The record is from RNAcentral.
AGAGUUUGAUCAUGGCUCAGGAUGAACGCUGGCGGCGUGUCUAACACAUGCAAGUCGAACGAGGCCCUUUGUAUUCGUACGAAGGUGUCCAAGUGGCGAACGGGUGAGUAACACGUUGGUGACCUGCCCCAAAGUGGGGGACAACUCCGGGAAACUGGAGUUAAUACCCCAUGUGUUCCAAGGAGUUAGAGGUCCUUGGAGGAAAGGAGCAAUCCGCUUUGGGAGGGGCCUGCGGCCCAUCAGCUAGUUGGUAGGGUAAUGGCCUACCAAGGCUACGACGGGUAGGGGACCUGAGAGGGUGGCCCCCCACACUGGCACUGAAACACGGGCCAGACACCUACGGGUGGCAGCAGUGGGGGAUAUUGCCCAAUGGACGAAAGUCUGAGGCAGCAACGCCGCGUGCGCGAUGAAGGCCUUCGGGUUGUAAAGCGCUUUUCUGGGGGAAGAGGAAGGACGGUACCCCAGGAAUAAGUCUCGGCUAACUACGUGCCAGCAGCCGCGGUAAAACGUAGGAGGCGAGCGUUAUCCGGAUUUACUGGGCGUAAAGCGCGUGCAGGCGGUUUGGUAAGUCGGACGUGAAAGCUCCUGGCUCAACUAGGAGAGGCCGUUCGAUACUGCCAGACUUGAGGGCAGCAGAGGGAGGUGGAAUUCCGGGUGUAGCGGUGAAAUGCGUAGAUAUCCGGAGGAACACCAGUGGCGAAGGCGGCCUCCUGGACUGUUCCUAACGCUAAGACGCGAAAGCUAGGGUAGCAAACGGGAUUAGAAA